GGAACUUUAGUAUAAGGGUAGUAUCUGGCAUUUGGGGCCAGUGGUGGUGGUUCGAAUCCAUCAAGUUCCG
This 70-nucleotide transfer RNA is filed under the name Spirosoma foliorum. Its description in RNAcentral is "Spirosoma sp. KCTC 72228 tRNA-Gln". It matches the Rfam family "tRNA". Rfam says of the family: Transfer RNA (tRNA) molecules are approximately 80 nucleotides in length. Their secondary structure includes four short double-helical elements and three loops (D, anti-codon, and T loops). Lineage: Bacteria; Pseudomonadati; Bacteroidota; Cytophagia; Cytophagales; Cytophagaceae. The record is from RNAcentral.